AAGCCCUUUAAAAUGAGCUAAGCGAUGCGUUUAACUUUAGGAAGCUUACCUCCUCCACGUUGGGUGUCAUGUUAGGCCCGAUACAAAGACGCUGUUUGUUCGGGCUCUUAAGCGUUCGUACGGCACCGAGGAUUCCGCUCAGCACCGGAGAACUUGUUUUUUUUUUCUUUUUUUUUUUUUUUAAAAAAGAGAGCUAUAUGAAUCCAUCGGUGCUGGUAGCGUUUCAAGGGAUCUACUCAAUCUUACCGCAGCCUGUUCUCUAGAAUGAGCAAUGUUCCCAGCUGUGAAAGCCCAACUCCUCCAGCAUCAGCAUUACCUCCAUCUAUCCAACAUUUGAGCGGAGAUCUUUAUCUCGGUCAAGGUCAUGGUAGAUCUGAAGAACGUUUGGUGUGAGACCACCAGGCAGUUUCCUUCAAAAUUACUGGAAUUUUACCGGUAUUGCUCAAUACCUUGACGAGUACCAGCGGUGAAGCGUUUGAUCAUCUUGUGACCGUGACCCUAUAUACAUAGGCAGCCUACAAAAGACUGCAGAUGUACAGAGUUGUAAACAAAACAUGACAGUGUCUAUUGGAUUCUCACUGCAGAGUGUGGGCUCUGAGUAGGUCAGGAUAUUGGAGAAGCCUCUCUAUGGGACUGGUCAUAGCGAAGACUGUAACAGGGGAAGGAGUUUGGGGGAUGAAGGUGAGGGCAAUAAGUGACACCGGUGCACAAUCAUUCCAGUGGCGUAGAGAACCCGUAUCCUUUCUUCCCUGUGUGUUUUCCUUCAUCUGUGUGUGUUUCCUAGUGAGUGUGAACGGCAAUGGGAUUUGCUGUUUGUAUUUUCUCCAUGCAAUGAGAAAAUAAAUCCUGAAGUGCAUGUUGUUUAUGUCCAGUGAUCUUGUUUG
This is a long non-coding RNA of Ictalurus punctatus (channel catfish), 884 nucleotides long. RefSeq lists it as uncharacterized. The record is from RefSeq and is a predicted model, not a curated record. Lineage: Eukaryota; Metazoa; Chordata; Actinopteri; Siluriformes; Ictaluridae. The transcript is spliced from 6 exons.